GGUAGGCAAGAUUCAAGAAAUAAUGUUAAAGUGCUUAAACAAAGAAAAGACAGUCUUUUCAAGGCAUCAAUGCAUAUUGACUGAAAUUCUAGAUGCUUAUUCUACCAACAUACAUUUAGUUGCUAUAUUGGGUUGCAGGUGUUUCAAAUAGUAUGAAAGAGACCUUUGCCAAUAAUUCUUGGGGCAGUUGCACAAUAUUUUUCUUAUGCCAUUUUAUGGAUUUCUCUGGACACAGAUUUUGGCAUUGUAGGAGCCACAACAUAGGCUUUUGGAUUUGUAAUGAUCGGAACAUGUCCAGGAGGAGUGAGGUCUGUUUCUUCUGCUUCUAGAAGGAAAUUUCACUUUGGCCAUUUUGAUAACUUGUGCAUCAGCAUUCUUGGCACUGAUAAUGAUGUUGGCUAAUUCUUACAUAUACUGUAGGAUGUUACGGUUAUCAUGUACAUUUCAUACUCCUGUUUCUAAAAUUAUAUAUACCUUUCAUACUUAUAUCAGUUGGAAUAGUCAACUGUAGAAUACCUGAAAAAGCAAACUUCCUAGAGAGAAUAAUUAGAACUAUGAAUUUUAUUUUAAUAUCUGUAGGGAUUUAGGUGACUUUCAGAAUGUUUCUAAAAAUAGUUAACAUAGAGGUGCUAUUAUUGGAUGUCUAAGUUCCUGCUUUGGAUUUGUUUGGGUACUCCUUUGCUAAAAUUUCUGUGUUGCCUCUUCUUGUUUGUAAACCAAUUGCUGUCAAAAGUGGUAUACUAGUUUCUCAGCUCUUGCCAUUGUUCAGCUCUUUUUCACGGUCCAAGACCAACUUAGCUUCUGUGGCUUCUUUUACAGUGGUCAUGAGUUCUGGAUGUGAAAGGUUACUAUUCCUUUCUGUUCUACAAGGCUAAGGAAAGUUGUAUCCUUAUCAUAGAACAUGAAAGGAAAAAGUAAUCCCUUGGUCUAACAAAGCAUUAGUGAAUUCCUGCUAUGAAUGAGGUACUGUGGGAGAUUCAAGGAAUAUCUAAAAUGAUGCCUGUUUUCAAUAUACUUUAUAUAUAUAUAAUAUAUAUUUAUUCAUAAUAUAUAUUAUAUAUAUAUUUAUUCAUGAGAGACACAGAGAGAGGCAGAGACACAGGCAGAGGGAGAAGCAGGCACCCUGCGGGGAGCCCUUUACGGAACUCUAUCCCUGGAUCCUGGGAUCAGUACCAGAGCCGAAGGCAGAUGCUCAACCACUGAGCCACCCAGGCAUUCCCCUCAAUAUACUUUUUUUAUGAUCUGAUUGAAAGCCUGACAUUAGGGGAAUGAGUGCUAAACACCUCGUGAAUAGUACAGACAGUUAAAUUUACAGAAAUUCAGAGGAAGGAGACUUUUCAAACUGUGUUGGUUUGGAAAUAUGGAGUUAGAUUUGAAUAUGAUACUUUAUUUUUAAAAAAUCUUAUUUGGUGAGAGAGAGCACACGCAGGAGCAGAAGCAGGGGAGCAGCAGGCAGAGGGAGAGGGAGAAGCAGGCUCCCCACUGAGCAGGAAGCCUGAUGUGGGGCUGGAUCCUAGGACCCUGGGAUCAUGACCUGAGCUGACAGCAGAUACUUAACUGAUUGAGCCACCCAGGCGCCCCCUGAAUAUGACCCUUUAUUAUGAUCUUUUAAACAGGAAAGAGGAACAAAAAAUAACUCUUCUGUAGUGAUUGUGAUACAUCCCAAGUAUUUAUGGAAGGGUUCUCCAUGUAAUAGGCAGUCAGUAAAUGCUCAUAUACUGAAUGAAUGUGAAUUCCUAUUUGGAUCUCUCAUCGGCUCCAUCA
RNAcentral lists this long non-coding RNA (1764 nucleotides) under Canis lupus familiaris (dog). Its description in RNAcentral is "lncRNA (ENSCAFG00845015162.1)". The record is from RNAcentral. Lineage: Eukaryota; Metazoa; Chordata; Mammalia; Carnivora; Canidae.